UAAGGAAUAUUGGACAAUGGACGCAAGUCUGAUCCAGCCAUGCCGCGUGAAGGAUGAAUGCCCUCUGGGUUGUAAACUUCUUUUAUAGGGGAAGAAAGAUACUUUUUUUAAGGUAGUUGACGGUACCCUAUGAAUAAGCACCGGCUAACUCCGUGCCAGCAGCCGCGGUAAUACGGAGGGUGCAAGCGUUAUCCGGAUUUACUGGGUUUAAAGGGUGCGUAGGCGGGCAUGUAAGUCAGUGGUGAAAUACCGGAGCUUAACUUCGGAACUGCCAUUGAUACUAUAUGUCUUGAAUAUCGUGGAGGUAAGCGGAAUAUGUCAUGUAGCGGUGAAAUGCAUAGAUAUGACAUAGAACACCGAUUGCGGAGGCAGCUUGCUACGCAAAUAUUGACGCUGAGGCACGAAAGCGUGGGGAUCAAACA
This 422-nucleotide ribosomal RNA is filed under the name uncultured bacterium. RNAcentral's name for it is "bacterial SSU rRNA". It matches the Rfam family "Bacterial small subunit ribosomal RNA", at positions 355 to 774 of the family's 1533-position model. The record is from RNAcentral.